CGGCGGACGGGUGAGUAAUGUAUGGGGAUCUGCCUGAUGGCGGGGGAUAACUACUGGAAACGGUAGCUAAUACCGCAUAAUGUCUGCGGACCAAAGCGGGGGGACCUCCGGGCCUCGCGCCAUCAGAUGAACCCAUAUGGGAUUAGCUAGUAGGUAAGGUAACGGCUUACCUAGGCGACGAUCCCUAGCUGGUCUGAGAGGAUGACCAGCCACACUGGAACUGAGACACGGUCCGG
This 236-nucleotide ribosomal RNA is filed under the name uncultured bacterium. Its description in RNAcentral is "partial 16S ribosomal RNA". It matches the Rfam family "Bacterial small subunit ribosomal RNA", at positions 96 to 334 of the family's 1533-position model. The record is from RNAcentral.